UAGGGAAUCUUCCGCAAUGGACGAAAGUCUGACGGAGCAACGCCGCGUGAGUGAAGAAGGAUUUCGGUUCGUAAAACUCUGUUGUUAGGGAAGAAAAAAUGUAUAGUAACUAUAUACAAAAGAGACGCUACCUAACCAGAAAGCCACGGCUAACUACGUGCCAGCAGCCGCGGUAAUACGUAGGUGGCAAGCGUUGUCCGGAAUUAUUGGGCGUAAAGCGCGCGCAGGUGGUUUAGAAAGUCUGAUGUGAAAGCCCACGGCUCAACCGUGGAGGGUCAUUGGAAACUAAUAAACUUGAGUGCAGGAGAGAAAAGUGGAAUUCCUAGUGUAGCGGUGAAAUGCGUAGAGAUUAGGAGGAACACCGGUGGCGAAAGCGGCUUUUUGGCCUGCAACUGACACUGAGGCGCGAAAGCGUGGGGAGCAAACAGG
This 429-nucleotide ribosomal RNA is filed under the name Verrucomicrobiota bacterium. RNAcentral describes it as "Verrucomicrobia bacterium partial 16S ribosomal RNA". It matches the Rfam family "Bacterial small subunit ribosomal RNA", at positions 355 to 776 of the family's 1533-position model. Lineage: Bacteria; Pseudomonadati; Verrucomicrobiota. The record is from RNAcentral.